Molecule: long non-coding RNA, 152 nt
Organism: Chelonia mydas (Green sea turtle)
Lineage: Eukaryota; Metazoa; Chordata; Testudines; Cheloniidae
Exons: 3
Source: RefSeq, a predicted model, not a curated record
AAUUCUCUUUGGCCUUAUGGUGCCCUAGUACUAAGGCUCCCACUACUACAAGCUGAAAUCACUAAAGAACUAAAAUUACUAAGAGCUGAAAUCACUGAGCACUGUGUCAAGUAGUGGGGCGCCUGAAGAUCUAGAGCACAGCGGAGCCGUUU